RNAcentral lists this ribosomal RNA (492 nucleotides) under uncultured bacterium. RNAcentral's name for it is "partial 16S ribosomal RNA". It matches the Rfam family "Bacterial small subunit ribosomal RNA", at positions 29 to 507 of the family's 1533-position model. The record is from RNAcentral.
AGUGAACGCUGGCGGUAGGCCUAACACAUGCAAGUCGAACGGCAGCACAGUAAGAGCUUGCUCUUACGGGUGGCGAGUGGCGGACGGGUGAGGAAUACAUCGGAAUCUACUUUUUCGUGGGGGAUAACGUAGGGAAACUUACGCUAAUACCGCAUACGACCUACGGGUGAAAGCAGGGGAUCUUCGGACCUUGCGCGAUUGAAUGAGCCGAUGUCGGAUUAGCUAGUUGGCGGGGUAAAGGCCCACCAAGGCGACGAUCCGUAGCUGGUCUGAGAGGAUGAUCAGCCACACUGGAACUGAGACACGGUCCAGACUCCUACGGGAGGCAGCAGUGGGGAAUAUUGGACAAUGGGCGCAAGCCUGAUACAGCCAUACCGCGUGGGUGAAGAAGGCCUUCGGGUUGUAAAGCCCUUUUGUUGGGAAAGAAAAGCAGCAGGUUAAUACCCCGCUGUUCUGACGGUAACCAAAGAAUAAGCACCGGCUAACUUCGUG